Molecule: long non-coding RNA, 236 nt
Organism: Xenia sp. Carnegie-2017
Lineage: Eukaryota; Metazoa; Cnidaria; Anthozoa; Malacalcyonacea; Xeniidae
Exons: 6
Source: RefSeq, a predicted model, not a curated record
GAGCCUCAAUUGUUGAAAGAGCCAUCAUUUUCAACUGCAUUAAGCAGUACGAAAGACGAUGGAAAUGAAGAGGAAACAAAUAUUGAUGAGCUCGAUAUGAGCGAAACCUUUUGUGAAUACGGAGAAGGAGGAGGAGGUGAUGAAGAGGAGGCUACAAAUAAUAAAACGGUCGAUAUGAUCGAAACAUUUUGUGAAUACGAUUUGGAAGAAAUGCAAGAUAAGUUAGAUAAACUUAU